RNAcentral lists this ribosomal RNA (712 nucleotides) under uncultured bacterium. Its description in RNAcentral is "bacterial SSU rRNA". It matches the Rfam family "Bacterial small subunit ribosomal RNA", at positions 777 to 1500 of the family's 1533-position model. The record is from RNAcentral.
AUUAGAUACCUUGUUAGUCCCCACGGUAAAGGAGGGAUGCCCGCCGUUGGGUAUUUUUAUUCAGUGGCCAAGGGAAAGCGUUAACCUUCCCCCUUGGGGAGUACGCGGGCAACGGUGAAAUUCAAAGGAAUGGACGGGGGCCGGCCCAAGCGGAGGAACAUGUGGUUAAAUUCGAUGAUACGCGAGGAACCUUACCCGGGCCAGAAUGGCAGAUGAAGGAUCCUAGAGAGGGGCACUUCAUCAGGGACAUCUGUGAAGGUGCUGCAUGGUUGUCGUCAGCUCGUGCCGUGAGGUGUCGGCUUAAGUGCCAUAACGAGCGCAACCCCUUUCGUCAGUUGCCAUCGGGUAAUGCCGGGCACUCUGUCGACACUGCCGCCGCAAGGUGUGAGGAAGGUGGGGAUGACGUCAAAUCAGCACGGCCCUUACGUCCGGGGCUACACACGUGUUACAAUGGGGCAUACAGAGAGUAGGUCAUGGGCAAGCAUGAUCGGAUCAUGAAAGUUUCCCUCAGUUCGGACUGGGGUCUGCAACCCGACCCCACGAAGCUGGAUUCGCUAGUAAUCGCGCAUCAGCCAUGGCGCGGUGAAUACGUUCCCGGGCCUUGUACACACCGCCCGUCAAGCCAUGAAAGCCGGGGGCGCCUGAAGUCCGUGACCGCGAGGGUCGGCCUAGGGUGAAACCGGUGAUUGGGGCUAAGUCGUAACAAGGUACC